CUAGAAGAGAUAACUCAUUCCGAACUGGAAAUCCAAUCCAAUUUACUUAUCUUCAAUGUGGAAUAUUAUCAAUCCACCAGGCAGCGUUAAAGUUGUGCUAUGAAUUAUUUAUUUACUAUUUGUUUUUGUACUUUUUACGGUCUGUUCGACCAAUACAAGAAUAGACAGACCAAAACGAGCGGACUACCGGUCCGGCACACCGCAGACCUCAAGAGGAAAUUUCAAAAGUUUGUUCUUGCAAAUGAUGACUGUAGCUAAGGAUUGACGACGUGAUGGUGAUAAGUUAUCACGCCGACCUUCAUAAAUUAAAAAAAAAUAUAUUAAAAAUAAUUAAAUUAAAGCCUUUUACGGAGGAUAAGCCACACCCGUUAUACGUCGUGUUACCCCAGGUUAUGGGUCCCGUUGUAAGAAAAGAUAUGCUGAGGUCAACUCUCCCGAAGAAUGUCGAAUCCGUUUCAUCCACUGAAUGUACACCGCCUGCAUUUCCUUUUUUGUCAGUUAUACCUAGAAUUUGAUUAAGUUUUUAAUGUUUGCAAAUAUUAAGGUGAUAUUAGUAAAAUUUAAAUGUGGUCAUGGUAUAUGUUAAUAAAUUAAACCGAAAAUGAACACUCCAAAUCAUCAACAAAAAUCAGCAAGAAUAGGCAGGUAACUAUCGAAUAUUAUGAAAAUAAAUACACUUAGAUUAUAUUAAGAUAUUGCAUUGAGAACAUCGCAAUAACUAAAACAUAAAGUUGUAUUUUUGUAUGUUGUAUAACAAUUAGAACUUUUUUUAUUU
Long non-coding RNA from Cimex lectularius (bed bug), 775 nucleotides. RefSeq lists it as uncharacterized. The transcript has 3 exons. NCBI's taxonomy places the organism in Eukaryota, Metazoa, Arthropoda, Insecta, Hemiptera, Cimicidae. The record is from RefSeq and is a predicted model, not a curated record.